UUGUAUUCAAUUUGUAGACGGGUGGG
RNAcentral lists this non-coding RNA (26 nucleotides) under Rattus norvegicus (Norway rat). Lineage: Eukaryota; Metazoa; Chordata; Mammalia; Rodentia; Muridae. The record is from RNAcentral.